This 253-nucleotide ribosomal RNA is filed under the name uncultured Oscillospira sp. Its description in RNAcentral is "partial 16S ribosomal RNA". It matches the Rfam family "Bacterial small subunit ribosomal RNA", at positions 524 to 776 of the family's 1533-position model. Lineage: Bacteria; Bacillati; Bacillota; Clostridia; Eubacteriales; Oscillospiraceae. The record is from RNAcentral.
UACGUAGGGGGCAAGCGUUAUUCGGAUUUACUGGGUGUAAAGGGCGUGCAGCCGGAGAGACAAGUCAGAUGUGAAAUCCACAGGCUCAACCUGUGAACUGCAUUUGAAACUGUUUCCCUUGAGUAUCGGAGAGGUCAUCGGAAUUCCUAGUGUAGCGGUGAAAUGCGUAGAUAUUAGGAAGAACACCAGUGGCGAAGGCGGCCUGCUGGACGAUGACUGACGUUGAGGCUCGAAAGCGUGGGGAGCAAACAGG